CACGUAGGGGGCGAGCGUUGUCCGGAUUUAUUGGGCGUAAAGAGCUCGUAGGCGGUUCCGUCAGUCGGGUGUGAAAACUCUGGGCUCAACCCAGAGACGCCACCCGAUACUGCGGUGACUAGAGUCCGGUAGGGGAGUGCGGAAUUCCUGGUGUAGCGGUGAAAUGCGCAGAUAUCAGGAGGAACACCGAUGGCGAAGGCAAGUCUCUGGGCAUUAACUGACGCUGAGGAGCGAAAGCUUGGGGAGCGAACAGG
Molecule: ribosomal RNA, 254 nt
Filed under: uncultured bacterium
Lineage: Bacteria
Description: partial 16S ribosomal RNA
Rfam family: Bacterial small subunit ribosomal RNA
Source: RNAcentral